Molecule: long non-coding RNA, 240 nt
Organism: Cynara cardunculus var. scolymus (artichoke)
Lineage: Eukaryota; Viridiplantae; Streptophyta; Magnoliopsida; Asterales; Asteraceae
Exons: 2
Source: RefSeq, a predicted model, not a curated record
GAUUCCCUUAUGGUGUUUUUGUGUGAAUGGAGCUUUGAAGACAAAGAGUAUUAUUAGAACUUUUGGACGAUUUACAGAAGAAGCAAGGAGAGAUUAUCAUCUCCAGGUGCUCAGUUUGGACUGUUUUAGUAAUUAGGAUCAGCGGUAGGGUGCGGAGCACCAGGUGAGUUCUCUUACAUAAACUUUAAUCAAGAUGUGAUCGUUUAUGAAUGUUUUAAAGUACCGAUCAUGGUUUUAUGC